RNAcentral lists this ribosomal RNA (492 nucleotides) under uncultured bacterium. RNAcentral's name for it is "partial 16S ribosomal RNA". It matches the Rfam family "Bacterial small subunit ribosomal RNA", at positions 29 to 507 of the family's 1533-position model. The record is from RNAcentral.
AGUGAACGCUGGCGGUAGGCUUAACACAUGCAAGUCGAACGGCAGCACAGUAAGAGCUUGCUCUUACGGGUGGCGAGUGGCGGACGGGUGAGGAAUACAUCGGAAUCUACUUUUUCGUGGGGGAUAACGUAGGGAAACUUACGCUAAUACCUCAUACGACCUACGGGUGAAAGCAGGGGAUCUUCGGACCUUGCGCGAUUGAAUUAGCCGAUGUCGGAUUAGCUAGUUGGCGGGGUAAAGGCCCACCAAGGCGACGAUCCGUAGCUGGUCUGAGAGGAUGAUCAGCCACACUGGAACUGAGACACGGUCCAGACUCCUACGGGAGGCAGCAGUGGGGAAUAUUGGACAAUGGGCGCAAGCCUGAUCCAGCCAUACCGCGUGGGUGAAGAAGGCCUUCGGGUUGUAAAGCCCUUUUGUUGGGAAAGAAAAGCAGCAGGUUAAUACCCCGCUGUUCUGACGGUACCCAAAGAAUAAGCACCGGCUAACUUCGUG